Molecule: ribosomal RNA, 449 nt
Filed under: uncultured bacterium
Lineage: Bacteria
Description: bacterial SSU rRNA
Rfam family: Bacterial small subunit ribosomal RNA
Source: RNAcentral
CUCCAGACUCCUACGGGAGGCAGCAGUAGGGAAUAUUGCACAAUGGGGGAAACCCUGAUGCAGCAACGCCGCGUGGGUGAAGGAGCGUUUCGGCGCGUAAAGCCCUGUCAGCGGGGAAGAAGAAAGACGGUACCCGACCAAGAAGCCCCGGCUAACUACGUGCCAGCAGCCGCGGUAAUACGUAGGGGGCAAGCGUUAUCCGGAUUCACUGGGUGUAAAGGGAGCGUAGACGGCGAGACAAGUCUGGAGUGAAAGGCCGGGGCCCAACCCCGGGACUGCUCUGGAAACUGCCUGGCUGGAGUACAGGAGAGGUAAGUGGAAUUCCUAGUGUAGCGGUGAAAUGCGUAGAUAUUAGGAGGAACACCAGUGGCGAAGGCGGCUUACUGGACUGUAACUGACGUUGAGGCGCGAAAGCGUGGGGAGCAAACAGGAUUAGAUACCCGUGUAAG